UAUUUUAAUAGAAUAAAUGAUACAACAGUUAUGUUGCAAAGAAAACUCAGAACGGACCAUAGAUUUCUGAACUGUAAUCUGGAAGAUUAAACUCAAGUCCGAAACCAGAAAUCAAUAAAUCUUAAUAAACCUUAACUAUCAAGUUAGAAAGCAAACCCGUGACUAGUGAGUGAGAUAUGAGAGAAUAUAAUGAACUGAAAGUUGGUUCAAAAACAGGGUUACAGAAGAAGAAACAAAGGAGGAGAAUAAGGGAGAGAAGUUGGAAAGAAAACAACUGAGAGAAUCAGAUCUGAAUUGACAAAGAAUUAAGAAGAAGAAGAAGAAAGCAAUUGACCAGCAGUCACGCAC
This is a long non-coding RNA of Telopea speciosissima, 348 nucleotides long. RefSeq lists it as uncharacterized. The transcript is spliced from 4 exons. The record is from RefSeq and is a predicted model, not a curated record. NCBI's taxonomy places the organism in Eukaryota, Viridiplantae, Streptophyta, Magnoliopsida, Proteales, Proteaceae.